CUGGAAGCUCCAUCACCACACAGGUGCCACCAUGCCUGGAGCUUUGUGGGACUUUUAGCACCAGGUUCCCUUCCAUGGGAAACAGAGUGACAUCUACUUGCUCCUACUGCAGAUGCCACUAUGAAGAUUGAUAAGGAAACUGAAAAGGAAUGAAAUAUAAAUACAAAGGCUAUUCUGUGAAAUUGCAUACAAUUGCUAUGAGACAGAAGACAAUCCUGCUGAAAGAAUGGACUUUUAGCUACCAGCAAACAACAGCACACAUACAACAUAUACCUGAAGAAAGCAACUUGGAUAAAGGAAGCACUACUCAUUUGCAUUUUCAUAAUUUUAGUCUGGAGCUUGCACUCCUAUCUUGGAAAGGAAAUCUCUUUCAUUAAAGAAAACUGGUUAUGCCAAAUGCACAAAAAUAACAGUGGGAGGCACUGGCGUGGGGAUGGGUGGAGGAAGGUCACUGCAUGACUCAGAAGCAUGGCUUCCGUAAUUCAUAUUUUAA
This 493-nucleotide long non-coding RNA is filed under the name Homo sapiens (human). RNAcentral describes it as "HSALNT0086903". The record is from RNAcentral. Lineage: Eukaryota; Metazoa; Chordata; Mammalia; Primates; Hominidae.